RNAcentral lists this long non-coding RNA (415 nucleotides) under Olea europaea subsp. europaea. The record is from RNAcentral. Lineage: Eukaryota; Viridiplantae; Streptophyta; Magnoliopsida; Lamiales; Oleaceae.
CUUCAGAGAACUCGUUACAAAAUUUAAGAAAUUUUCGUUCGGAAAGUUUAGACUUUCAGCUUGUACGACUUUUUGAAAUAAAUCUCGUUCGACAAAUAAAUGAAGUCCAAAAUUUACAAAAUUUUAAGUGUAGACAUCAUACGCAUGGGGGAAUUAUAGGUUAAAAUUUCAUAGAUAAAUUCAAUCAAUAGAUUGGUCAAAAAAAAUUCUAAACCGGGGCUAUUUGUUCCCGGGUACAAUCUGACAGCUCUUGGGAAAAUGUUCAUAACUUGAGUUUUAUAGAUCCAGAAUUCAUGAUUCCAAAUCCGAGAGAUAGAUAACUCGUAUGGCUAUAUUUUCCAAAUAGAAUCACCUCAAAAUUCCAAGUAUUUUGGCCUGGCCGAGUUUUUAAACUUUGGCAGAAACUGGAAAUAUU